UGACUNGAGUGCAGAAGGGGAGAGUGGAAUUCCAUGUGUAGCGGUGAAAUGCGUAGAUAUAUGGAGGAACACCAGUGGCGAAAGCGGCUCUCUGGUCUGUCACUGACGCUGAGGCUCGAAAGCGUGGGUAGCGAACAGGAUUAGAUACCCUGGUAGUCCACGCCGUAAACGAUGAGUGCUAGGUGUUAGGCCCUUUCCGGGGCUUAGUGCCGGAGCUAACGCAAUAAGCACUCCGCCUGGGGAGUACGACCGCAAGGUUGAAACUCAAAGGAAUUGACGGGGGCCCGCACAAGCGGUGGAGCAUGUGGUUUAAUUCGAAGCAACGCGAAGAACCUUACCAGGUCUUGACAUCCNGAUGNUAUUNUUAGAGAUAGGAAGUUANUUCGNUNCNUNGGAGACGGGUGGUGCAUGGUUGUCGUCAGCUCGUGUCGUGAGAUGUUGGGUUAAGUCCCGCAACGAGCGCAACCCUUAUUGUUAGUUGCCAUCAUUAAGUUGGGCACUCUAGCGAGACUGCCGGUAAUAAACCGGAGGAAGGUGGGGAUGACGUCAAAUCAUCAUGCCCCUUAUGACCUGGGCUACACACGUGCUACAAUGGUCGGUACAACGAGUUGCGAGCCGGUGACGGCAAGCUAAUCUCUGAAAGCCGAUCUCAGUUCGGAUUGGAGGCUGCAACUCGCCUCCAUGAAGUCGGAAUCGCUAGUAAUCGCGGAUCAGCACGCCGCGGUGAAUACGUUCCCGGGCCUUGUACACACCGCCCGUCACACCACGAGAGUUUGUAACACCCGAAGUCGGUGAGGUAACCUUUUAGGGNCCAGCCGCCU
Molecule: ribosomal RNA, 821 nt
Filed under: uncultured bacterium
Lineage: Bacteria
Description: bacterial SSU rRNA
Rfam family: Bacterial small subunit ribosomal RNA
Source: RNAcentral